RNAcentral lists this ribosomal RNA (559 nucleotides) under Phlyctema vagabunda. RNAcentral's name for it is "SSU rRNA". It matches the Rfam family "Bacterial small subunit ribosomal RNA", at positions 292 to 915 of the family's 1533-position model. Lineage: Eukaryota; Fungi; Ascomycota; Leotiomycetes; Helotiales; Dermateaceae. The record is from RNAcentral.
UCGGGGGAAUGAAAAGCUUCGGCUGACUUGUUAGUUUUUAUUAGUGUAAAAUAUAUUAAUAAUUAAAAAGUUAAAAAAUAAAAUUUUUAAAUUUGCUGACGGUUAAGUGACUUUGUCACAUAAAGUUCUAGAUAGUAUACUGAUUAUGACUAUUUACUAUCUAUGUGUCUUGACCAAAUUACGUGCCAGCAGUCGCGGUAAUACGUAGAAGACUAGUGUUAUUCAUCUUUAAUAGGUCUAAAGGGUACCUAGACGGUUUAAUUAGUCCUAACUAGGAUACGAUUAAACUAGAGUUAUAUAUGACGAAAGUGAGUAUCUGUGGAGUAGAGUUUAAAUUCGAUGAUWCCAUGAGGACUGGUAAAGGCGAAAGCAACCAUCUAUCUAAUACCUGACGUUGAGGUACGAAGUCUCGGGUCGCAAAUAGGAUUAGAUACCCUAGUAGUCCAAGCAGAAAAUAAUCGAAUGCCAUAGACUAGAUAAUUAUUUAGUUUAUAAAAGAAAGAGCAAGCAUUCCACCUCAAGAGUAAUGUGGCAACACAGGAACUGAAAUCAUCAGACC